GGCGCAGUGGACUAAUGGUUAGCACGUUGGACUCCGGAUCAAAUGGUCCAGGUUCAAGCCCUGGUUGUGGUCA
Non-coding RNA from Desmophyllum pertusum, 73 nucleotides. Lineage: Eukaryota; Metazoa; Cnidaria; Anthozoa; Scleractinia; Caryophylliidae. The record is from the annotation of a GenBank genome assembly.